This 393-nucleotide ribosomal RNA is filed under the name uncultured Chrysophyceae. RNAcentral's name for it is "partial small subunit ribosomal RNA". It matches the Rfam family "Eukaryotic small subunit ribosomal RNA", at positions 30 to 432 of the family's 1831-position model. Lineage: Eukaryota; Chrysophyceae. The record is from RNAcentral.
GCUUGUCUCAAAGAUUAAGCCAUGCAUGUCUAAGUAUAAGCACUUAUACUGUGAAACUGCGAAUGGCUCAUUAAAUCAGUUAUAGUUUAUUUGAUAAUACCUUACUACUUGGAUAACCGUGGUAAUUCUAGGGCUAAUACAUGCAUCAAACCCCGACUUCUGGAAGGGGUGUAUUUAUUAGAUGGAAACCAAUGCGGGGCAACCCGGAUUAUGGUGAUUCAUAAUAACUUUCAGAUCGAUCGCAAGAUCGAUGCAUCAUUCAAGUUUCUGCCCUAUCAGCUUUGGAUGGUAGGGUAUUGGCCUACCAUGGCUUUAACGGGUAACGGAGAAUUAGGGUUCGAUUCCGGAGAGGGAGCCUGAGAAACGGCUACCACAUCCAAGGAAGGCAGCAGG